CAGUAGCCGCGGGAAUACAGAGGGUGCGAGCGUUAAUCGGAUUUACUGGGCGUAAAGCGUGCGUAGGCGGCUUCUUAAGUCGGAUGUGAAAUCCCUGAGCUUAACUUAGGAAUUGCAUUCGAUACUGGGAAGCUAGAGUAUGGGAGAGGAUGGUAGAAUUCCAGGUGUAGCGGUGAAAUGCGUAGAGAUCUGGAGGAAUACCGAUGGCGAAGGCAGCCAUCUGGCCUAAUACUGACGCUGAGGUACGAAAGCAUUGGGAGCAAACAGGAUUAGAUACCCCCGUAGUCCCUGUCUCUUAUAC
This 301-nucleotide ribosomal RNA is filed under the name uncultured bacterium. Its description in RNAcentral is "partial 16S ribosomal RNA". It matches the Rfam family "Bacterial small subunit ribosomal RNA", at positions 509 to 807 of the family's 1533-position model. The record is from RNAcentral.